UAUGCUCCUGAAAUCGGGUGAGGCUAUCC
Molecule: ribosomal RNA, 29 nt
Filed under: Babesia sp.
Lineage: Eukaryota; Apicomplexa; Aconoidasida; Piroplasmida; Babesiidae
Description: partial 28S ribosomal RNA
Source: RNAcentral